RNAcentral lists this ribosomal RNA (509 nucleotides) under uncultured Bacteroidales bacterium. RNAcentral's name for it is "bacterial SSU rRNA". It matches the Rfam family "Bacterial small subunit ribosomal RNA", at positions 8 to 507 of the family's 1533-position model. Lineage: Bacteria; Pseudomonadati; Bacteroidota; Bacteroidia; Bacteroidales. The record is from RNAcentral.
AGAGUUUGAUCCUGGCUCAGGAUGAACGCUAGCGGCAGGCUUAACACAUGCAAGUCGAGGGGCAUCGGGAGGGAAGCUUGCUUUCCUUGCCGGCGACCGGCGCACGGGUGAGUAACACGUAUGCAACCUGCCCUCUUCAGGGGGACAACCUUCCGAAAGGGAGGCUAAUCCCGCGUAUAUCGGUUUCGGGCAUCCGAGAUCGAGGAAAGAUUCAUCGGAAGAGGAUGGGCAUGCGGCGCAUUAGCUUGACGGCGGGGUAACGGCCCACCGUGGCGACGAUGCGUAGGGGUUCUGAGAGGAAGGUCCCCCACACUGGUACUGAGACACGGACCAGACUCCUACGGGAGGCAGCAGUGAGGAAUAUUGGUCAAUGGGAGAGAUCCUGAACCAGCCAAGCCGCGUGAGGGAAGACGGCCCUACGGGUUGUAAACCUCUUUUGUCGGAGAACAAAACCCGGGACGUGUCCCGGACUGCGUGUAUCCGAAGAAAAAGCAUCGGCUAACUCCGUG